This 1470-nucleotide long non-coding RNA is filed under the name Monodelphis domestica (gray short-tailed opossum). Its description in RNAcentral is "lncRNA (ENSMODG00000049675.1)". Lineage: Eukaryota; Metazoa; Chordata; Mammalia; Didelphimorphia; Didelphidae. The record is from RNAcentral.
AAGAGGUUGUCUAUGAAAAUGGAAUCUCUUACAUAGGUUUGGGGUUUUUUCCAUUUAAUUAAUUUAGAAUAUUUAUCCAUGGUUCCAUUAUUCAUGUUCUUUUCCUUCAUCCUCCCAGAGCUGAUGAGCAAUUCCACUGGGUUUUACAUGUAUCAUUUGCAUAGUUAUUUUUAAGUAGAGAAAAUAAAUUCAAAAUAAUAAUUUCAAAUCUGUCCUGCUUCUCUUCCUUUGAAUUUCUGUGAACUUCUUUGAAGUGACUUCUCUUCGGUGGCCGCUAGGUGGCGCUCUAAGCCAGGAAAAUCUGAGGUCAACUCUGACCCCCAUAUGACUCUGGACAAGUCAUUUAACUUCUGUCCACCUCCGUUUUAUUCCUCCGUAAAAUGAAAUAAUAAUAGCAUCUACCUCUCAGGGUCGCUAUGGGAAUCAGCUGAGAUACUAAAUUAUAAAAUGCUUGGCCACUAUCUAAACGUUAGUUAUUAAUAGUGGUAGUAGUAGUAAAGCAAUUAGCAUAGUGCCCUGCCAUAGCAGACAUUUAAUGCUUGUUUCCUUCCUCCUCUUCUGGGCAUUUAAAAAUAUUUCAUAGACAUUCUUUCCUUUCUUUUUGGGGGCAUCAUUAUUUUUCUCACUCCCCCUCCCCAAAAAAAGUUACGCCUCUCCCUUCAAACAAACCAACCCAGUGAAUCAAAAUAAAUCCGUAUCUCGAUUAUGUCGGACUACACGGGUCUCAUUCUGCGUUUCCUGCCUAGCAUUUCUCUGCCGGAAGUGGGGAAGCGUGCUUUCCGUGAUCCCGGUGCUCGGGAGUCCUGAUUGGUCAUUGCAUUCAUCAGCCUCCUAACGUCUUUCGAAGUUGGUUUUCGUUCCACGGGGGCAGCGGGAGGGGAUGCUGUGCCCACUCAGGUCACGUGCGGCCACCCGAGUUCGGCUGGAAGUCACCAGAAGGUCCAACACUCUCUUCCGAGUUCCCUGUAGUUGCUGGAGAACUGAAAUCCAAGUCUUUGGGCUAUCAAACAGUGCGUCCCCUUGGAUCCAGGAAUACCACUACUAGGCCUGUAUCUUGGAGAGAUUAAAGAAAAAGGCGGGGAAAGGACCUGCUUAUACAAAAUUAUUUAUUGCUGCUCUUUUUGGGGUGACAAAGAACUGGAAAAUGGGGGGACGUGCCUCCACUGGGGAGCAGCUGAACAAAUUGUAGCAUGUGGGGCUGAGGGAAUACUAGUGGCUGUAAGGAUGCUCUCAGAAAGAGCCAGCGAGACCUUGGACGGAUGCAGCGAGGACUAAACAGAACCAGGCGAACACUGUACCGUCACUGCCAUAACCGUCAAGCACGUAGACUUUGCUGGCUCAGCAAUGCAAUGGUCCAGGAGAGCUGAGAGACGGAGGGCGGAAGAUGCUCUCUGCCUCCGGAGCAAGGACUGUGCGAGUCAGAAUGCAGAUGAAAGCAGGCGGUUUUUCACUUGCUUCUUUGGGUUUAUA